Molecule: ribosomal RNA, 492 nt
Filed under: uncultured bacterium
Lineage: Bacteria
Description: partial 16S ribosomal RNA
Rfam family: Bacterial small subunit ribosomal RNA
Source: RNAcentral
AGUGAACGCUGGCGGCAGGCCUAACACAUGCAAGUCGAACGGCAGCACAGUAAGAGCUUGCUCUUACGGGUGGCGAGUGGCGGACGGGUGAGGAAUACAUCGGAAUCUACUUUUUCGUGGGGGAUAACGUAGGGAAACUUACGCUAAUACCGCAUACGACCUACGGGUGAAAGCAGGGGAUCUUUGGACCUUGCGCGAUUGAAUGAGCCGAUGUCGGAUUAGCUAGUUGGCGGGGUAAAGGCCCACCAAGGCGACGAUCCGUAGCUGGUCUGAGAGGAUGAUCAGCCACACUGGAACUGAGACACGGUCCAGACUCCUACGGGAGGCAGCAGUGGGGAAUAUUGGACAAUGGGCGCAAGCCUGAUCCAGCCAUACCGCGUGGGUGAAGAAGGCCUUCGGGUUGUAAAGCCCUUUUGUUGGGAAAGAAAAGCAGCAGGUUAAUACCCCGCUGUUCUGACGGUACCCAAAGAAUAAGCACCGGCUAACUUCGUG